AAAGUUCUGGGGACCACAUGAAAAUAGCCAUCACUUUCAAGCAAUGGAGAAAUACAAACUGAGCUGUUACCCAUAUUUCUGCAGAAUGAUCGACCAUAAAGGAACCCGCAGGCGUACAAGGAAAAACCCGCCAUGGUCACAGGGAUAACUCCCUGUGGCCGUGGGAGAAGCCAGAGACGCCGGAGGAGGAAGCUCGGCGUCUCUGCACUUAUUCCGGCUACUCCCCUCCAAUUCGUCCGGAGAGAGGGGAGUAUUCCUGGAAGGGCAAUUGGGGAUCUGACACCCUCUCAUCGGACGAUGAGGAGGUGGACUAUAGGAGAGUGGAGGAAGAACUCCUGGGGGAACAAGAAUGGAGGUCGCCCCAAGAACUUUGGGGAGAGGUCAAGCCCCUCACUCGGCAGGAGGAGGAAGUGUUUAAGGGACUUCUACAAGAUAUUCAGGAGGCGGAGAGGACGGGACGUAGGAGAGGAGGCUGUAGGAGGAAGCGGCAGCCCGAGCCUCCUACCUGCCAUGGGAUGGACGGGAAGAGUAGUCCCCUGGCCAUUCGCCCAGUGGCCGCAGCCGCCAGCUGUUCUCCCACUUAAAAAGAUGAGAGGCCUUCACCCAUGAGAAACAAAAUGGGGGAAAAAAAAUCCAGAAAAUCACAUUGUAGGAUUUUUAAUGAAUUUAUUGGUAAAUUAUGGUGGAAAAUAAGUAUUUGGUCAAUAACAAAAGUUCAUCUCAAUACUUUGAUUUAUACCCUUUGUUGGCAAUGACAGAGGUCAAACGUUUUCUGUUAGUCUUCACAAGGUUUUCACACACUGUUGCUGGUAUUUUGGCCCAUUCCUCCAUGCAGAUCUCAUCUAGAGCAGUGAUGUUUUGGGGGUGUCGCUGGGCAACACGGACUUUCAACUCCCUCCAAAGAUUUUCUACUGGCUAGGCCACUCCAGGACCUUAAUGCUUCUUACGAAGCCACUCCUUCGUUGCCCGGGCGGUGUGUUUGGGAUCAUUGUCAUGCUGAAAGACCCAGCCAUGUUUCAUCUUCAAUGCCCUUGCUGAUGGAAGGAGGUUUUCACUCAAUCUCACGAUACAUGGCCCCAUUCAUUCUUUCCUUUACACGGAUCAGUCGUCCUGGUCCCAAAGCAUGAUGUUUCCACCCCCAUGCGUCACAGUAGGUAUGGUGUUCUUUGGAUGCAACUGGUUUCAUCUGACCAUAUGACAUUCUCCCAAUCAUCUUCUGGACUAUCCAAAUGCUCUCUAGCAAACCUCAGACGGGCCUGGACAUGUACUGGCUUAAGCAGGGGGACACGUCUGGCACUGCAGGAUUUUAGUCCCUGGCGGCGUAGUGUGUUACUGAUGGUAGCCUUUGUUACUUUGGUCCCAGCUCUCUGCAGGUCAUUCACUAGGUCCCCCUGUGAUGUUCUGGGAUUUUUGCUCACCAUUCUUGUGAUCAUUUUGACCCCACGUUGUGAGAUCUUGCGUGGAGCCCCGGAUCGAGGGAGAUUAUCAGUGGCCUUGUAUGUCUUCCAUUUUCUUAUAAUUGCUCCCACACCAAGCUGUUUACUUAUUGCAGAUUCAGUCUUCCCAGCCUGGUGCAGGUCUACAAUUUUGUUUCUGGUGUCCUUUGAGAGCUCUUUGUUCUUGGCCAUAGUGGAGUUUGGAGUGUGACUGUUUGAGGUUGUGGACAGGUGUCUUUUAUACUGAUAACAAGUUGAAACAGGUGUCAUUAAUACAGGUAACGAGUGGAGGACAGAGGAGCCUCUUAAAGAAGAAGUUACAGGUCUGUGAGAGCCAGAAAUCUUGCUUGUUUGUAGGUGACCAAAUACUACUUUUACAGAGGAAUUUACCAAUAAAUUCACUGAAAAUCCUACAAUGUGAUUUUCUGGAUUUCUUUUCUCAUUUUGUCUCUCAUAGUUGAAGUGUACCUAUGAUGAAAUUACAGGCCUCUCUCAUCUCUUUUUAAGUGGGAGAACUUGCACAAUUGGUGGCUGACUAAAUACUUUUUUGCCCCACAGUACAAGCCUUUCUAACAUGAAAAUGUUAUCAUUGAUUUGUUUUUGCAUGCUGAUUUAUGUAAUAAAAGGUAGUUGGCUAACAAAAUUAUUACUGUCAGCUAGACAGUUGGCUUUUAUUUCAGCUUCUUUGUUGCCAAAAAAACAGAUAAAACCUAAGUUAUAGUAUUAACAAGUAUUAACAACUUAACUUACCUAGCUACUUUAUGAUGACUAGUGAAUGCUUAUUUCAUUAUUGCAAUCUUAGCUUACCUAGUUAAGCUAAAUUGUAACGAUUAGCCAGCCAUGUAGCUACAGUUUAAGGAAGAUUUGUUUGCUAAAACGUUUGACAAUUUCCCCCACACAAAGAUGGCUAGUCAGUUGAAGUGGAGGAUCUUCUUUGCCUCUAUCGAUUGUCAAGUAGGUGUUGUGUUGAUGCAAAUACAUGUACAGCUCACAUUGAGUUAAAAUGACUUAAACCAGUGUUACACAGUCAAAC
Esox lucius (northern pike) is the source of this 2469-nucleotide long non-coding RNA. The record is from Ensembl. Lineage: Eukaryota; Metazoa; Chordata; Actinopteri; Esociformes; Esocidae.